This 169-nucleotide ribosomal RNA is filed under the name Rudarius ercodes (whitespotted pygmy filefish). RNAcentral's name for it is "partial 12S rRNA". The record is from RNAcentral. Lineage: Eukaryota; Metazoa; Chordata; Actinopteri; Tetraodontiformes; Monacanthidae.
CACCGCGGUUAUACGAGAGACUCAAGCUGUUAGACACCGGCGUAAAGAGUGGUUAAGAGCACAGACAAAUUAAAGUCUAAUACUCCCUCAGCUGUAAAAAGCAAAAGGGGGCUAGAAGCCCAUCAACGAAAGUGACUUUAUUAAUUCUGAACCCACGUAAGCUAAGGCA